Molecule: long non-coding RNA, 1926 nt
Filed under: Homo sapiens (human)
Lineage: Eukaryota; Metazoa; Chordata; Mammalia; Primates; Hominidae
Description: non-protein coding lnc-NBPF1-4:5
Source: RNAcentral
CAACGGGCCGUGGUCAUCACUGCAUGGGGGUGGCCUCGGACUGUCCUGAUCCUUGUCUUGGCCCCUUUCACAGUUGGAGAACCAGUCCCAGCCUUGUGACACUGGGCCCAAUCAGCGUUUAGCCCACCAGGGUCCACCCAGCACCUGCGCUCCCAGCUGUCACAAUGCAAACAACGCUAUCAAGAUCUCCAGGAGAAGCUGCUGCUAUCAGAAGCCACUGUCUUUGCUCAGGCGAACGAGCUGGAGAAAUACAGAGUUAUACUUAGUAGGUGAACCCUUGCUGAAGCAGGACAGUAAACAGGUCCAGGUGGACCUCCAGGACCUGGGCUAUGAGACUUGUGGCCAAAGCAAGAAUGAGGCUGAACAGGAGGAAACCACCAGUCCCGGACUACAACCAUAGGGCCACCCACCACAUUGAAAACCAGAAGAGCAUUUUGCUGCCGCCGAGCGUGGACGCAGGCGGAUCUCCGAAGAGCUGGGUCGCCAGCCUCUCCCGCGCACGUUGCCUGGCCUCCAGCACCUACUUGGUCCCGCGCGCUCCCUCGUGUCGCCCCUCGGAGCAGCAGCCGCCGCGGUCGCCGCUACCCGGAAAGAAGUCAGAGACGCCGCGAGGUCGCCGCCACCGCCAUGCCCAAGAAUAAAGGUAAAGGAGGUAAAAAUAGACGCAGGGGUAAGAAUGAGAAUGAAUCUGAAAAAAGAGAACUGGUAUUCAAAGAGGAUGGUCAGGAGUAUGCUCAGGUAAUCAAAAUGUUGGGAAAUGGACGGCUAGAAGCAAUGUGUUUCGAUGGUGUAAAGAGGUUAUGUCACAUCAGAGGAAAAUUGAGAAAAAAGGUUUGGAUAAAUACCUCGGACAUUAUUUUGGUUGGUCUCCGAGACUACCAGGAUAACAAAGCUGAUGUAAUUUUAAAAUACAAUGCAGACGAAGCUAGAAGUCUGCAGGCAUACGGCGAGCUUCCAGAGCAUGCUAAAAUCAAUGAAACUGAUACAUUUGGUCCUGGAGAUGAUGAUGAAAUUCAGUUUGAUGACAUUGGAGAUGAUGAUGAAGAUAUUGAUGACAUCUAAAUUGAACUCAACAUUUUACAUUCCAUCUUUUCUGAAGAUUGUCCUACAAUUUGGAUUUUGAUCAUGACAAAGAAGAUUAAAAUUUCAUUAGCAUGAAUGCAAUUUGUUAAAGCAGACUGAUUUGUUUCUAAGAUAUUUUUGGUUUUUUUAAAACUGAUAAUAAUGCUGAAUUAUCUUAAGUGAGAUGUUAAGCCCACUUUGUUCUUUUAAUGUAAUGGAGCUUAUGGGUAGAAGACCAUGUCUACUAAUUACAAAAAAAAAAAAAAAAAAAACCAUGCAUUGCUGCUUUUCCUACCACUUCCAGUAAGAAAAUGGGUGUUUUGAAGAAAUCAUUUGCCUUGUCCUCACGGAAUCUGAUUAAGCCCUGGCCUCUUGAUUGUAUAGAGUCAUUGUGUAUAUUCCAGUUACCUAGAUAUUCCCUUGAGAUUUUGAUACAAUUUGAGGGAGGCAGAAGUCUGCAUUUGAAGAAAAAAAAUAAGUCUGUUUGUCAUAUUUAAGUAGCCUGUGGCUAUUUUUAUACUGAUUUUGAUAUCAUGUUCUUUUCAUAGUCGUAUUUUGCCACCGUAAACAUAAAAAAAAAAAAAAAAGAUUUCCAAAAUGCCGUUUUCAGAACCUGGGUUUUAAUAGCAGUAUUGAAUUUGUAAGCUUAGUAGUUGCAGAAAUUGAACACUAGGUGGCACUCAGUUAUCUUAACAGGGGAAGUACUGAUAUAAUUGUUGACUUUUCUUUUACUAUGUGUAAGAAAUACCCCAAACAUGAAAAGAUUGUUUUGAUCAUAUGCAUGUAUGUAGAAUAUUUUUGCAGAGCAGAAAGAUUAUGUUAGAAGUGUGAUUUUUAUUUUCAGAAGUCAUAUACAUGUAAGCU